This 3057-nucleotide unclassified non-coding RNA is filed under the name Leishmania donovani. Its description in RNAcentral is "gene:LdHU3.22.0810(CDS-product:ubiquitin-conjugat ing_enzyme-like_protein)". Lineage: Eukaryota; Euglenozoa; Kinetoplastea; Trypanosomatida; Trypanosomatidae. The record is from RNAcentral.
AACAGCCAACUCUCGACGUGUUUUCUCACCUUAUUGCGUGACUCAAGCACGCAAACCCACAACACGCAUCGGAUCCACUGGGAAGAUUACGCCGUGUGUUGCACUUGCAACGUCUAUCCUCAUCUCUCCUCUACGAGCGUCGGCGUGUCAGGGGUGCGUGUCUCUCCAUUGUGAAGGGGCCGCCGGAAUCACCGUCUCUCUCUCUCUCUCUCUCGACUGGCGUGCGCGUGAGCGCGCUUCCGUGUCUCUCCUCAGCUCAUAUUUUAUUGUUUCCUUUUGAACUCCUUUUCGUUUUUUUUUUUACCGUCUCUUUAUUGGUGUGAGCGCCGUCUUUCCUCCUGUUUCCUGCACGAGCUGGCCAUGCAGGCAGCUCGUCUCCCGACUCGGAUUGCCACCGGCGACGGUGAGGAUGCGCCGCAGCCUCCACCUGUCCACGCCCCGGCGCCCCCCGCCGCCACGGACGAGCAAGUGACGGAUCAACCCCAGCAGGCUGUAGGCGAGGCGACGACGCCGACGGACCGGGCUGGGUUUCAGCCGCCCUCCGCCGAGGCCCUGGCUGCUCGGCAGAGCCGCAAUAGCGCCGGCGCGGAGAAGAUGGGCGGCGGUCAGCGGCUGAGAGACCACACGACGGCCCAGCGCCGCCUCAUGCAGGAUUACCGCACGUUCCAAAAGAACAUGGCCGAGGGCACCAGCUCCAACAUCACCGCGCUGCCUGUGGAUGGUGACUUCUUCCACUGGCACGCCGUCAUCUCGGGCCCCUGCGACACACCGUGGGAGGGCGGCCUCUUCAAGCUGGACCUAAUCUUCGGCGACGACUAUCCGUUCUCGCCGCCGAAGGUCCGCUUCCGCACCAAGGAUGUCUUUCAUCCCAAUGUAUACGUUGACGGCAACAUCUGUAUGGACACACUGAAGAGCAGUUGGCAAUCAUCGCUUAACCUAGAGGCGCUGCUGAUAUCGAUUCAGUCCCUUCUGUCAGACCCAAACCCACUCUCUGCCGCCAACGGGGCGGCGGCGCGGCUCCUGACGGAGAACCGUAGCGCCUACGACGAGAAGAUACGCGCCUUGGUGGAGGAAAGCCUUGAGCAGAGCUUUUCCAUGGAUGAUGAUAGCGAUGACGCGGAGGUGGAUGAGGGGGACGUGUAGUCUCCCUCCCGCACUGCGACAGGUGCGGUGUGUCAGCAUGUACGUGUCUUGUGCAUGCAUGUGUGUUGUGUGUGGUUCGUUCCCUGGUUGUGCUUCUCAUUUCUUUUCCGUUCUUUUAUUGUUUUCGUGCUCUUUUCUUUAUGUGUGUGUGUGUGUGCACCCCGUUAUGCCUCUUCUCCCCUCUGCCAUGUCCCUCUUUCUGUCGUCCUGGCCCUAUCCCGCCCCGGCUCUUUUCCAUCCCCCGCCUCCACCCCUCCGUGACGCGCUCCUGUGUCUUCUCUUCGAAAAAAGGCAAACAUACAGUUGUGCUUUAGCUUGUUGUAGCCCCUCCCACCUUUCCUCUCCCCUCUUCUCUCUCGCUUCCUUCUCCAGCUCACUUACAUUUUCCUCGCGCCUACUCUUCUCUGUGCUCUGUGCUUCUUGUUGUUUUCGUUUUGCGUGUGGUACGUCUCCUCGCCUCCAUCUCCCGCCUCGUGCUCACACCGCACUAUUAGCGGGAUGGGCACACGCACACACCGAGAAGGAGAGGGUGGUGGGACGGCUCCCCUAUCGCUGCGGUCUGCGUGCCUGUGUGUAUGCGUGUAUGUGCCUGGUUUUCCCACUUACACCAUCUCCGCUCCCUCCAUCCUCCCCUCUCUUUGCUUUAUCAAUCGAUGCUGACCCUGAGAAUAGUGCGUCUUGCUGCUGCUGCUGCUGCUGCUCUCUUUCUCUCUGUGUUUCUUGGAUAGCCAAUCAUAUUGUUUUUGUGCCUCCGGGUAUCCCCAUCCCCAAUUCUGUCUAUUCACCCGUCCCCCUCUUCCCAUCCCCUCCCCUCCCCCCUCACACACACCCCUCUCCCAGAUCACUGCCUCCGUUGUUGCGUUUUUGUGCAGCUAAUGUGUGCCGUUUUGCGUGUGUGUGUAUGGGGAAGAGGAACCGUUUCACGCCGCAUUCUAGUCAUCUCCUCAUACAUCCCGACGGUUUGCGUGUGUGUAUAUAUAUAUCUUGCCACCCCCCCCUGCUUGCUUACUCGACGGCUUCAUCGCAUCUGCAUAUCACUGUCUCUCCUCUCCUCCCUCCUUCUCCUUUUCUCUGUGUGUGCCUUGUGCGUGUGUGUGUGUGUGCGUGUGCCGGUGCGUAGGCAACACGGCGAGUGGGACGGGUGUUGUUGCUGCUGGCGUCUUCGUUUUUUCGUGGUUUCUGUGACGACAAGGAGGUUUUCUGUACGCCUGGGCUUGAUUCGUCGUCUUGCAUCGUUGCUCGUGUGCGUGGCGUCGUUAUAUUUACUUUGCGUGGCAUGUCUCCCCGGACUUGCUUGGUAUGCUUCGAUUUUUUUUUUGUUUUGGGCCGCUCUGAGUCGUGCGGGGAUGCCUUGCUCAUCGCUUCGCAUCACCCUGCUCCUGCUCCUUCUCCUUCCGAUAUGGGUGCGUGUGCGUGUCUGUGUGGGUGUGUGGGUGGGGAGGGGGCGUUCUCGGGCCAUGGCGGGCCCGGAGCACAAGCGGGAAAGGACGGGAAUGAAGAAUAAAAAAAAAACAAGCAUGUGCGGCGCGCGUGUAAGUGUGUCUGUGUGUCUGUUUCUCGUCCGCUUCAUCGACGUUGAUAUGCUCACCGGGGCUGGCGGAUGUGGUGUGGGGUCGGUGCCGACACAACAGAGUGGAAAGGAGAGGCGGGCAGGGAAUCAUGCAAGGUAAAUGGGCAAAACUAGCAGAGGAAAACGAGAGAAAGUUUGCGAGGUACCGUCGUGGAUAGAAAAGGUGGGGCGUGACGGAGCGGAGAGGAAGGGGAGUGCCAGCCAAUGUCUUCCUACCGGCGCCUCCUCUGAGUAUGAUUGACGGAAGAUGCUUUUCACCGGCUAGCGCGCGUUGAGCUGGUUUCGCUGCUGCUCUUGCCAAUUUGCCGUGCUCUAGCGCUUGCUCUCGUAUUUUAUUUCCUCAC